RNAcentral lists this ribosomal RNA (494 nucleotides) under uncultured bacterium. RNAcentral's name for it is "partial 16S ribosomal RNA". It matches the Rfam family "Bacterial small subunit ribosomal RNA", at positions 28 to 507 of the family's 1533-position model. The record is from RNAcentral.
GACGAACGCUGGCGGCGUGCUUAACACAUGCAAGUAGAAAGGUGAAGCGCCUUCCUUUUUGGUGGGUGUGGAUGAGUGGCGAACGGGUGAGUAACACGUGAGUAACCUGCCCCCUUCUUCUGGAUAACCGCAUGAAAGUGUGGCUAAUACGGGAUAUUCUGGGUCUGUCGCAUGAUGGGUCUGGGAAAGAUAUUGUUUCGGUGGGGGAUGGGCUCGCGGCCUAUCAGCUUGUUGGUGGGGUGAUGGCCUACCAAGGCGGUGACGGGUAGCCGGCCUGAGAGGGUGGACGGUCACACUGGGACUGAGACACGGCCCAGACUCCUACGGGAGGCAGCAGUGGGGAAUAUUGCACAAUGGGCGCAAGCCUGAUGCAGCGACGCCGCGUGAGGGAUGGAGGCCUUCGGGUUGUGAACCUCUUUCGCCAGUGAAGCAGGCCUGCCUCGUUUGUGGGUGGGUUGACGGUAGCUGGAUAAGAAGCGCCGGCUAACUACGUG